RNAcentral lists this ribosomal RNA (784 nucleotides) under uncultured fungus. RNAcentral's name for it is "eukaryotic LSU rRNA". The stretch from base 491 to 784 matches the Rfam family "Eukaryotic large subunit ribosomal RNA", at positions 1 to 288 of the family's 3401-position model. Lineage: Eukaryota; Fungi. The record is from RNAcentral.
ACCUCUUCAGCUGUGCGCCUCGGCUGCACGCUGUCGAACCUUCUCACACCUGUGCACAACUCGGUUGCGGUCCACCCGUGGGUCGCUUCCGCUUCAACAUACCACAACCAGUCUCGGAUGUCAACAAACUAUACAAAUAACAACUUUUAACAACGGAUCUCUUGGCUCUCGCAUCGAUGAAGAACGCAGCGAAAUGCGAUAAGUAAUGUGAAUUGCAGAAUUCAGUGAAUCAUCGAAUCUUUGAACGCAUCUUGCGCUCCUUGGUAUUCCAUGGAGCAUGCCUGUUUCAGUGUCACGUAAACCCUCACACUUGUGAUGUCAAAGUCACGAGUUGUGGAUUUGGACCGUGCCGUCAAUGGCUCGUCCUGAAAUGCAUUAGCUUGCGCUUGUUAGAGUGCUUGGCACGGUGUGAUAAUUAUCUGCGCCCUCGCCUUAGGCCUCUUCUAAAUGUGCUGCUUCCAAUCGUCUCUACGGACAAAUAAUCAAACUUUGGCCUGAAAUCAGGUAGGACUACCCGCUGAACUUAAGCAUAUCAAUAAGCGGAGGAAAAGAAACUAACAAGGAUUCCCCUAGUAACGGCGAGUGAAGCGGGAAGAGCUCAAAUUUAAAAUCUGGCUGUCUCAGACUGUCCGGGUUGUAAUCUAGAGAAGUGUUUUCCGUGCCGGACCAUGUAAAAGUCCCUUGGAACAGGGCGUCAUAGAGGGUGAGAAUCCCGUUCAUGACAUGGACUCCCGGUGCUCUGUGAUACAUCUUCAAAGAGUCGAGUUGUUUGGGAAUGCAGCUC